AUUGAACGCUGGCGGCAUGCCUUACACAUGCAAGUCGAAUGGCAGCACGGGAGCAAUCCUGGUGGCGAGUGGCGAACGGGUGAGUAAUAUAUCGGAACGUGCCCAGUCGUGGGGGAUAACGUAGCGAAAGCUACGCUAAUACCGCAUACGAUCUAUGGAUGAAAGCGGGGGAUCGCAAGACCUCGCGCGAUUGGAGCGGCCGAUAUCAGAUUAGGUAGUUGGUGAGGUAAAGGCUCACCAAGCCGACGAUCUGUAGCUGGUCUGAGAGGACGACCAGCCACACUGGGACUGAGACACGGCCCAGACUCCUACGGGAGGCAGCAGUGGGGAAUUUUUGGACAAUGGGCGCAAGCCUGAUCCAGCAAUGCCGCGUGCAGGAUGAAGGCCU
RNAcentral lists this ribosomal RNA (388 nucleotides) under uncultured bacterium. RNAcentral describes it as "bacterial SSU rRNA". It matches the Rfam family "Bacterial small subunit ribosomal RNA", at positions 30 to 417 of the family's 1533-position model. The record is from RNAcentral.